RNAcentral lists this transfer RNA (72 nucleotides) under Archangium lansingense. RNAcentral's name for it is "tRNA-Met". Lineage: Bacteria; Pseudomonadati; Myxococcota; Myxococcia; Myxococcales; Archangiaceae. The record is from RNAcentral. RNAcentral also lists the same sequence under 1 other name.
UGCGGAGUGGGACCGGGCGUCCCACCGGGCCUCAUAAGCCUGGGCCGCAGGGUUCGACUCCCUGCUCCGCAA